This 286-nucleotide ribosomal RNA is filed under the name Francisella sp. AF01-091-3. RNAcentral describes it as "partial 16S ribosomal RNA". It matches the Rfam family "Bacterial small subunit ribosomal RNA", at positions 196 to 475 of the family's 1533-position model. The record is from RNAcentral. Lineage: Bacteria; Pseudomonadati; Pseudomonadota; Gammaproteobacteria; Thiotrichales; Francisellaceae. RNAcentral also lists the same sequence under 10 other names.
GCGGAUUAAAGGUGGCCUUUGCGCUGCCGCAGAUGGAUGAGCCUGCGUUGGAUUAGCUAGUUGGUGGGGUAAGGGCCUACCAAGGCUACGAUCCAUAGCUGAUUUGAGAGGAUGAUCAGCCACAUUGGGACUGAGACACGGCCCAAACUCCUACGGGAGGCAGCAGUGGGGAAUAUUGGACAAUGGGGGAAACCCUGAUCCAGCAAUGCCAUGUGUGUGAAGAAGGCUCUAGGGUUGUAAAGCACUUUAGUUGGGGAGGAAAGCCUGUGAGUUAAUAGCUUGCAGG